UUUCGGCCGUAUCAGGUUGAAACACGGAUUCUCGUACGAUCACCAAAGUUAAACAACCUCGAGCAUGGUUACUACCUAAAUGGAUGAGCGCUUGGGAAUGUCACGAGCUGUG
Non-coding RNA from Acanthosepion pharaonis, 112 nucleotides. Lineage: Eukaryota; Metazoa; Mollusca; Cephalopoda; Sepiida; Sepiidae. The record is from the annotation of a GenBank genome assembly.